Molecule: ribosomal RNA, 713 nt
Filed under: uncultured bacterium
Lineage: Bacteria
Description: bacterial SSU rRNA
Rfam family: Bacterial small subunit ribosomal RNA
Source: RNAcentral
AACGCGAAGACCCAGCAAUGGGUUUGUAGCGUGGCAAACGGGUGAGUAACGCGUGGGCGACCUGCCCUCGAGUGGGGGAUAACCUUCCGAAAGGAGGGCUAAUACCGCAUGACAUUCCGUGUUUGGAUACAUGGAAAUCAAAGCCGGGGAUCGCAAGACCUGGCGCUUGAGGAGGGGCCCGCGUCCGAUUAGCUAGUUGGUGAGGUAACGGCUCACCAAGGCUCCGAUCGGUAUCCGGCCUGAGAGGGCGGACGGACACACUGGGACUGAGACACGGCCCAGACUCCUACGGGAGGCAGCAGUGGGGAAUUGUUCGCAAUGGGCGCAAGCCUGACGACGCAACGCCGCGUGGAGGAUGAAGACCUUCGGGUCGUAAACUCCUUUCGACCGAGAUGAAGAGGCGCCGACCUAACACGUCGGCGCAUUGACAGUAUCGAGGGAAGCAGCCCCGGCUAACUCCGUGCCAGCAGCCGCGGUAAUACGGGGGGGGCAAGCGUUGUUCGGAAUUACUGGGCGUAAAGGGUUUGUAGGUGGCUUGCUAAGUCACACGUGAAAUCCCUCGGCUUAACCGGGGAACUGCGUGUGAAACUGGCGAGCUUGAGGACAGGAGAGGAACGCGGAAUUCCAGGUGUAGCGGUGAAAUGCGUAGAUAUCUGGAGGAACACCGGCGGCGAAGGCGGCGUUCUGGACUGUUUCUGACACUGAUAAACGAA